RNAcentral lists this ribosomal RNA (467 nucleotides) under uncultured bacterium. RNAcentral's name for it is "partial 16S ribosomal RNA". It matches the Rfam family "Bacterial small subunit ribosomal RNA", at positions 28 to 507 of the family's 1533-position model. The record is from RNAcentral.
GAUGAACGCUGGCGGCGUGCUUAACACAUGCAAGUCGAACGGAAAGGCCCAAGCUUGCUUGGGUACUCGAGUGGCGAACGGGUGAGUAACACGUGGGUGAUCUGCCCUGCACUUCGGGAUAAGCCUGGGAAACUGGGUCUAAUACCGGAUAGGACCACUUCUUGGAUGUUGUGGUGGAAAGUUUUUUCGGUGUGGGAUGAGCUCGCGGCCUAUCAGCUUGUUGGCGGGGUAAUGGCCUACCAAGGCGUCGACGGGUAGCCGGCCUGAGAGGGUGUACGGCCACAUUGGGACUGAGAUACGGCCCAGACCCCGACGGGAGGCAGCAGUGGGGAAUAUUGCACAAGGGGCGCAAGCCUGAUGCAGCGACGCCGCGGGGGGGAUGACGGCCUUCGGGUUGUAAACUCCUUUCGCUAGGGACGAAGCGUUUUGUGCCGGUACCUGGAGAAGAAGCACCGGCUAACUACGUG